RNAcentral lists this long non-coding RNA (19933 nucleotides) under Linum usitatissimum (flax). Its description in RNAcentral is "long non-coding RNA (LUSI_LNC002898)". Lineage: Eukaryota; Viridiplantae; Streptophyta; Magnoliopsida; Malpighiales; Linaceae. The record is from RNAcentral.
ACUUCAGCAAGAGCUAUUAUUAACGAAUUGGUCGAUUACCAGUGUGACCCAGAAGAGAAAGGAGCAUGCGACGCUGGAUGUGGAGGAGGCCUAAUGAACAGUGCCUUCGAGUACACUCUAAAAGCCGGAGGGCUCAUGCGAGAGGAAGACUACCCUUACACUGGCACUGACCGCAGCACCUGCAAGUUCGACAAGAGCAAGAUCGCAGCCAAAGUAGCAAACUUUAGUGUCAUCUCCAUUGAUGAAGACCAGAUUGCUGCUAACCUCGUCCAGAGUGGCCCUCUCGCUGGUAAAUAUUUGUCAAGCUUCAAUUUCCUCAAGUCCGCUCAUUCACUUUGCUCGCUUACCCUAUGUCCAAAGGCUAUAACUUGUUUCUGACUAGGGCAUUUUCAUAUUUUGCAGUGGCGAUCAAUGCGGUGUACAUGCAGACCUACAUCGGCGGGGUGUCGUGCCCUUACAUCUGCUCGAAGAGGCUAGACCACGGUGUGCUAUUGGUGGGGUAUGGGGAGGCAGGGUACGCACCGAUCAGGAUGAAGGAGAAGCCGUACUGGAUCAUAAAGAACUCGUGGGGGGAGACCUGGGGGGAGAGUGGCUACUACAAGAUCUGCAGAGGAAAGAACGUCUGCGGAGUUGAUUCCAUGGUUUCCUCUGUUGCUGCUGUUCAGACCACUGCUCAUUAGUAGCAAGAAGAAGAAGAAGAAGAAGAAGAAAUGGAAGCAUUGAUGAAUUGGGGGUUGUUUGUAUAUAGAGUAAUUUAUCAUCCACUAUUUCCAGAAACUGAAUUUGGGUGUUUUUAGUUUUACGCUAAUUGUUGCAGUUUACUAUAUAUAUAGAAACAAGGAACUCCAUUUGCUUUGCUGAUAUUUAUGAAAAGCCAAUGUGUUGUGUGCAAAAUGGAUUUGUGUCUGGUUUAUUAUAUUGGCUGCUUAUAAGCACUUGCUGACGGCUUCGCAUCUAAUGUACACCCAAUUCCUAUGGGUGUCUUCGAACUCGUCAAAUCGUGAAUCACUUGUCAAAAUAAUGGUCCUUAUAUGUUUACGUUUUGACUAUGAUUUAUCGCUGGUUUUAAUCGAUUGAACCACAUUACCGUUGUUCUUGCCGAUGUCUAAACCAUGCUUAAUAUUAUCUUCCCCUACCAAGAUUCUCCAUUUUAAGGCCAUGUAUCAUGCGAUCAUGUUCUCUAAUUGGGUCAGCAUCUGUAUAUUAUAAACGUCACACGCGUGUGAUUAUGUUACUGGAGUUAGAUGCAGCUCCCAACAACUAUAUAUACGCUACAAUAAUUGCUACAUCAUAAUGUAAUUGCGUAUUAACUUGAAUAAUCAUCGCAAUAAGUUUAUGAUACAGCAUUCAACAACACUACACGCCAUUUGCGGGGACUUCAUUUCAAUUACCAUAUUCUGCAAUUUAAGCAAAAUUGACCUGAUUAACGUGUUCUAAGCGCUGCUUAGAGUUAGUAAGGUGUUGUCUUCUCCCUGUUCGAACAGUAACUGUUCACAAUUUUCGAAUCUUAUCCCAAUUCAAGCAGUAACCUCGUUGUACGAUUAUCGAGCACCAUUCCUAGUGCCCGUCACACAUCACCACAGUCAAAUUCAGUACAAGUGAAGAAAGGACAACAAACAGGCAAACCUGGAAAUUGCAUUUUCUUCAAACAACUCAUCCACGUUACGUAUAGGAGAGCGAGCAUUCAAAGAUGGUGAAUCAACGAACACAAGUUAUUCAGCUUAUUACUUUUAUUACACAAUCAUGGCCAUAAAAACUGCCAGAAUUCUUGCCUCACACGGCAACAAACUCUACCUCAGGAAAGAACACAAGAUCGCAAGAUUCCUAAGUAAUCAACCAAUCGCCUUCUGAUCGUUCUACAGAGCGAGAUAGAUACUAACAAUAUUUGAGCAGGAGGAAUAAAGCUCGGAAUAUAACGAAUCCCGCGCUCCCCAUCUAUUCACACACGGAAUAAAUUAAAGCAACACUAUAUGUUAGACGAUGAUGGUUGAGUGUCCCGGUUGAUUGGAUUUACUCCUCUUCGUAAUCGAUUAGUGCAAAGGAGUAGGGACUGAACUUGUAUCCAUCACCUUCGUAGAACUUGUUCUGGAACUCUACCCAGUGGAGACGUAGAGCGUGGAGGAAGGCACUAAGAGUCUCCAUCACGAGAAGUACUCCGACGGUUGCGAAGAUGAAGACGAUGAUGCCGAUGAUGAGGAUGAUCACGUUGUUGAACCUGGAAAGGUGGGGGAAUUGCUACAUUAUUUUUCAUUCUAGAGAUGGAUAUGGUCGGUUAAUAAUAGAGAGAGAUUUAGAGGUUUACGUACCCCCAUGCAAGGAGCAGGACCUUUUCGUAGAAUACACUGGACAGUUCCGAGUGAGCAAGACUGCAGCCAAGAUAGACCGAGUUAACAAAAUGGUCGAUGAAUAACCACCGAGAAAUCAAUUUGAAUAUCGGAAGACACACCUGAGAGCCCAUAGACGGAGGUAAGAUGCUGUGUUCGAAACUGCUCCAAGGACGAAUUCGAUUGUGUGUAUCAUCUGAUGAACGAAGACUUCACUGAACUCGAAUUCCUCAUGACCAUGUGGAUCGUGGGCUGCUGCUACCAACUCGACCGAUUCAUCCCCGCUCGGGAGUGGAGCAUAUGCUUGGCCUUGGUGCGUCUGAUGAAACAUUACCAUCAGGAGAAGAUACAGAAAGAUGAAUUGAAAAUAACUAGGUAGAGAACCUAAACUAAUGCAGGAUGAAUUCCAGAUUGUUUGUUGUUACCUUCUCGUACUGCCUCUUCAAAAGGAAAGGCUUGGGGAACAGCAUCCACGGCACGGAGACGAGGGCCAGCAACAACAAUAUCUUGUGACCAUGAGGUUUGAUCUUCUUAUAACCUUCCCUCUUUACAUAACUUCAGCAAGAGCUAUUAUUAACGAAUUGGUCGAUUACCAGUGUGACCCAGAAGAGAAAGGAGCAUGCGACGCUGGAUGUGGAGGAGGCCUAAUGAACAGUGCCUUCGAGUACACUCUAAAAGCCGGAGGGCUCAUGCGAGAGGAAGACUACCCUUACACUGGCACUGACCGCAGCACCUGCAAGUUCGACAAGAGCAAGAUCGCAGCCAAAGUAGCAAACUUUAGUGUCAUCUCCAUUGAUGAAGACCAGAUUGCUGCUAACCUCGUCCAGAGUGGCCCUCUCGCUGGUAAAUAUUUGUCAAGCUUCAAUUUCCUCAAGUCCGCUCAUUCACUUUGCUCGCUUACCCUAUGUCCAAAGGCUAUAACUUGUUUCUGACUAGGGCAUUUUCAUAUUUUGCAGUGGCGAUCAAUGCGGUGUACAUGCAGACCUACAUCGGCGGGGUGUCGUGCCCUUACAUCUGCUCGAAGAGGCUAGACCACGGUGUGCUAUUGGUGGGGUAUGGGGAGGCAGGGUACGCACCGAUCAGGAUGAAGGAGAAGCCGUACUGGAUCAUAAAGAACUCGUGGGGGGAGACCUGGGGGGAGAGUGGCUACUACAAGAUCUGCAGAGGAAAGAACGUCUGCGGAGUUGAUUCCAUGGUUUCCUCUGUUGCUGCUGUUCAGACCACUGCUCAUUAGUAGCAAGAAGAAGAAGAAGAAGAAGAAGAAAUGGAAGCAUUGAUGAAUUGGGGGUUGUUUGUAUAUAGAGUAAUUUAUCAUCCACUAUUUCCAGAAACUGAAUUUGGGUGUUUUUAGUUUUACGCUAAUUGUUGCAGUUUACUAUAUAUAUAGAAACAAGGAACUCCAUUUGCUUUGCUGAUAUUUAUGAAAAGCCAAUGUGUUGUGUGCAAAAUGGAUUUGUGUCUGGUUUAUUAUAUUGGCUGCUUAUAAGCACUUGCUGACGGCUUCGCAUCUAAUGUACACCCAAUUCCUAUGGGUGUCUUCGAACUCGUCAAAUCGUGAAUCACUUGUCAAAAUAAUGGUCCUUAUAUGUUUACGUUUUGACUAUGAUUUAUCGCUGGUUUUAAUCGAUUGAACCACAUUACCGUUGUUCUUGCCGAUGUCUAAACCAUGCUUAAUAUUAUCUUCCCCUACCAAGAUUCUCCAUUUUAAGGCCAUGUAUCAUGCGAUCAUGUUCUCUAAUUGGGUCAGCAUCUGUAUAUUAUAAACGUCACACGCGUGUGAUUAUGUUACUGGAGUUAGAUGCAGCUCCCAACAACUAUAUAUACGCUACAAUAAUUGCUACAUCAUAAUGUAAUUGCGUAUUAACUUGAAUAAUCAUCGCAAUAAGUUUAUGAUACAGCAUUCAACAACACUACACGCCAUUUGCGGGGACUUCAUUUCAAUUACCAUAUUCUGCAAUUUAAGCAAAAUUGACCUGAUUAACGUGUUCUAAGCGCUGCUUAGAGUUAGUAAGGUGUUGUCUUCUCCCUGUUCGAACAGUAACUGUUCACAAUUUUCGAAUCUUAUCCCAAUUCAAGCAGUAACCUCGUUGUACGAUUAUCGAGCACCAUUCCUAGUGCCCGUCACACAUCACCACAGUCAAAUUCAGUACAAGUGAAGAAAGGACAACAAACAGGCAAACCUGGAAAUUGCAUUUUCUUCAAACAACUCAUCCACGUUACGUAUAGGAGAGCGAGCAUUCAAAGAUGGUGAAUCAACGAACACAAGUUAUUCAGCUUAUUACUUUUAUUACACAAUCAUGGCCAUAAAAACUGCCAGAAUUCUUGCCUCACACGGCAACAAACUCUACCUCAGGAAAGAACACAAGAUCGCAAGAUUCCUAAGUAAUCAACCAAUCGCCUUCUGAUCGUUCUACAGAGCGAGAUAGAUACUAACAAUAUUUGAGCAGGAGGAAUAAAGCUCGGAAUAUAACGAAUCCCGCGCUCCCCAUCUAUUCACACACGGAAUAAAUUAAAGCAACACUAUAUGUUAGACGAUGAUGGUUGAGUGUCCCGGUUGAUUGGAUUUACUCCUCUUCGUAAUCGAUUAGUGCAAAGGAGUAGGGACUGAACUUGUAUCCAUCACCUUCGUAGAACUUGUUCUGGAACUCUACCCAGUGGAGACGUAGAGCGUGGAGGAAGGCACUAAGAGUCUCCAUCACGAGAAGUACUCCGACGGUUGCGAAGAUGAAGACGAUGAUGCCGAUGAUGAGGAUGAUCACGUUGUUGAACCUGGAAAGGUGGGGGAAUUGCUACAUUAUUUUUCAUUCUAGAGAUGGAUAUGGUCGGUUAAUAAUAGAGAGAGAUUUAGAGGUUUACGUACCCCCAUGCAAGGAGCAGGACCUUUUCGUAGAAUACACUGGACAGUUCCGAGUGAGCAAGACUGCAGCCAAGAUAGACCGAGUUAACAAAAUGGUCGAUGAAUAACCACCGAGAAAUCAAUUUGAAUAUCGGAAGACACACCUGAGAGCCCAUAGACGGAGGUAAGAUGCUGUGUUCGAAACUGCUCCAAGGACGAAUUCGAUUGUGUGUAUCAUCUGAUGAACGAAGACUUCACUGAACUCGAAUUCCUCAUGACCAUGUGGAUCGUGGGCUGCUGCUACCAACUCGACCGAUUCAUCCCCGCUCGGGAGUGGAGCAUAUGCUUGGCCUUGGUGCGUCUGAUGAAACAUUACCAUCAGGAGAAGAUACAGAAAGAUGAAUUGAAAAUAACUAGGUAGAGAACCUAAACUAAUGCAGGAUGAAUUCCAGAUUGUUUGUUGUUACCUUCUCGUACUGCCUCUUCAAAAGGAAAGGCUUGGGGAACAGCAUCCACGGCACGGAGACGAGGGCCAGCAACAACAAUAUCAUCUGAUAGAAGGGGUCAAAUUACGAAUUAAUAAUCGACUCUUCCUUUCAUCUGGACGAAAUCUAUAAACAGGUAAUGUAGAGCUAGGUAACCUGAGCAUUUCUCUGUCCCGGGAAGAGUUGGUUUUCGCCAAGCUCGUCGGUUGGACUCAGGAACAUGUAGAUCAUGACAUGGUACAAAUCGGCUUUCGAGCCAGUUAUCCACUUAAUAAUGAUGAGGACGGACAAGUAGCCGAACAAGCUGUUCAAGAAUAUCAUCUGAGGAAUGAAUUGGAACCUGCAAAAAGGUCGAUGCGGCUGUUUUUAGCAGAUCGGUGAAGAUAAUAAGAUAUCGAAUUUAGAAAAGCACGAGGUCGACAUACACACCAGGUGUUUAAGCUAUUCUUGAAGUAUAGUGCAUUGAAAUAACUCAGUAUGAUCCCCAGGUUCAUCUGGGCAACUCCAAGAAGGAUCGACAUUUUCAUCUUCAGUGAAUUGAGAAACGGCAGCUCGCUGCGGGUACCGUGCCAUACAGGCGCAAAACCCAAUGGCCAUACAGGGUCAACACCAAAUGGGUAAGUAGGGCGCACUUUGAUCAGACCCAUGGUUGUGGAAUCCCUGGAAUUCGAGCAAAAGAAAAGAUCCGAUACGAUUAGGCACAUGCAUAGGCAGCCGUACAUGAUUUUCAAUUAGUUUACAGACUCAGAAGGUAAAGAUAACUACCCGCAAGAGGGACCACGGCAAUCAUAAGCAGUGCGGCCGAAUAAUUCGAAGGGCACUGAGAAGAAUUCGUUAUAGAUCAACCCGGUAUAAAUGGAGAACAGUGACAUCAUCAGGAUGACAUAACGACCGCCAAAUGCCAUUUCAGUGAUAUCUCCAAGCUUCUGCAGUUGUCAAAGAACAGGUUUAACCGAUUCAGAUCAGAGGAAUAUAUAAAUUAAGACCGUAUAAUUAGAGCUUGUUAGAUUCAGAUCAGAUUGGCUAGAGAGCAGUAUCAACCAAGCACCAACAAAUGUAUAAAUCAUCAGUUGGAUUUUGUUAAAUCGAUUAAACCUGCAAAGCCCUUACCUGGCUUGAUAAUUUCUUUUCUCUUGCGAUGAACACAAGUGUUGCAAGCAACAAACAUAUUCCAUGACCCCAAUCACCAAACAUGACUGCGAACAGGAAGGGGAACGUGACAAUAGUAAAUACACCUGGAUUUGCCUCUUGGUAUUUGGCCACACUGCAAAGUCGUACAAAGUCACACAUUAGCUUUCUAUUUCUAGAUAAAAUAUUUAACUCAAAGACCAAAAAACACUCAAGAUAAUACAAAGUACACAUAAGCAUACAAAUGUAGUUCUUCGUGACAAGUACAAGGCUUCAAUUCAUAUCAGAGGGUAUCUCAAUUGGGUCACAUCUACCAGUGAGUUGUAUUUCACAUAGUGGCACUUCCAUGACGCUAAGAGGCAGGCUGCACCACUAAGGAAGACCAUAGCAAAGGAUGGAAAGUGCAGAAACAAGUAGAUCGACAACACAUCUAGGAUUUCUUCAGACCAGCUAACUUAGAAAUGUCUUAACUAACUCACCCAUAUGCAUCAACGAUUUCUUGAAAGGCGGUAGUGAAUUUGUUUGUACGGAAAUAAGUAGGCGGUGCUUCCUUUGUAUCCAAAACUUGGAAAAUGGAUCCAAUUUGAGAAUUUGAAUCAAUUGACGCCCGGUGUAGUGCAUCUUGGAUCUGCAGAGAUCAAAAACUGAAGUUCAGCUGCAAUGAACUUUAACAUAUACGUCGAAAAUUGACCUUGAGAAAUAGCAACACGUCUUACCUGCUUACCGGCGAACACGGGACUCCAUCCCUCACCAACAAGACAUUUUUUUGUCACAUCAAGACUCAGCAUGUUGAGGGUGUGAUAGACAGAUUUCUCCUUCUUAACCUUCAAUGUUCAUGAUACCUCAAUUAGUGACCCAAACCAGUCCAAAUGAUAUUAAAGUUGAAUAAAAGUUGAUGAAUAGCUGUUCUUGCAGAAAAGAACAAUACCCCACCACCAAAGUUACUCAUCAGUAAAAAAAACUCUAGCUAGAGAACAAUUGGUGACGCUUAAUUUGGCUCGUGCUUACCAAUGAAUUCCACUGCUCGUAUUGUUUGCUAAUUGUCUUUAGCAAACUGUCUCUCUGAAGUAAACCUGCAUCGAUGGUGGUCUUCAUCUCUGUUAGCCUUCCAGUGACCUAACAGUAAGAGUAAAGUAAUCAUCAUCAUGCUGAAUGAAUUAAUCAUAUUAAUAAAUGAUCAAAUUUCAGAGCAGGAACAAGUCAGGCAGUAUUCAAGGGAACUAUAAACAUAGUAAAUAACCAAAGGACCUCUCUUUGUAUAGUAAGUUAGUACCACAUAAGACGUAAUAAUCACAAAAGCAGCAACCCUUCAGCAGAAACACGUCAGGCCGUGCGCUCAGAUCAGGCAAUUUAGCACAGAUCAUACGGAAGCAUUAUUCCUACGUAAACAGAUUUGUAUAGCUAUAACUGUGGAACGACUCAUACCUGAUUAACCAUCUGACCUUGCUUGCUGACAUCCUCUGAGAAAGGAUAACGAUUUGCACCAAACGCGUCACAUAUUUUAAGUAUUUUGGUCUUUGCUCUUUCUCCAGAAUAGAAUAUGACGAAAACAUUCUUCUCAACCUGCAUAUCACCAUUUGUAAGCGAGAAACGAAGAGGAUAAUCCCACACAUGACAAAUGAUUUGCUUCACGAACCACCUAUGAGUGCAAAGUUUUCAAGAAACCAACAAACAAGAGAAGUGUUGCAGAAUCACCAGUAAACAUAAGCAUGGUGGAUGGACGAGUGAAACUGGUGGAAAAUAUUGCACUCGAUAAUACUCAAAUUACGUAGUUAAGUAGAUUAGUGUCAUAAUUUCCUUCAGACAUUACUAUCGGGCCUCUGGAAAUCAGCAUUUCAGUACGGAUAGUUGUAGGUCCGCGGAACUGUCAACUUACAGAGAUUAUGUCGCUUGAUAAAAAUCAGAUAAUCUUAGUUUAAAUAGAUCAGUAUCGCGGCAUGAGCAAUUUUGGCUUCUAUUUUUCAGGCAUUGCGUCUCGAGAAAGACAAGAAUCAGCACCUCAGUGAGGAUAAUGGUAGGCCUACUGACCUCCACUGACGAUAAUAAAAAUAUAAUAAUUUAACAAUGCAUGCGACAAAUUAUCUCCAGUUUCAAUAACUUGUUUUGGAGAAAGUAUAAGGGCACCAGAAUAAGUAAGAAGAUACAUACCUUCUCCCCAGAAACAGGAUCAGUAACAGGUUGAUCAACUGCAGUCUGCCUGAGGAAUACAUUUCCCCUUGUAGCACGGAAGAUAAUCCUUUCAAACGCCAAGGAUUUCUCUUUGGAAACCAAGCCAGUCAGAAACCCCAGCUUCACUUGCUUUGACGAAUCAGUUGCUGCUUCCUACACAUUGAUCAUCAAGUUCAAAUUCUGCUAAAGAAAAUACAACGAUAAUUGAAGCUCAGAUUGGCUGGCUGCCAUACCUGGUCCAGUAAAGGAGUCUCCAAUGAUCCUUCCCCAGAUUGAGAUUCAAUUUCCCUCUGCUGUGCAGCUGCACUGUUUAGAGCUGAAGAGAAAAAUUCCCCAGCCUGAAAAUAAAAAUUCAUCAGUGAAGGACUACAGCCCAAGUUUAAGUUAAAUGAAUAUGCAAAUACUUCAAUAAAUUGUACAUUAAAUCUUCUAUUAAGCAUAUGAGGCCGAGUGGUGGGGAGGGAAGAUAAAUUCUUCACACAGCUGUUUGUGAUUAUUUGGCACCAAGGGAACAUAACUAAUGCUUUUAACUCAGAAUUUAACCAAUAGCCAGGGGUAAAGGCAAAUUCUGACAAAUUUCAUACAUGCAAAUGAAUUGAGCCAUGCAAUUACUGCAUGGCCAAAUUCAAAAUGAUGUUUAAAAAAUCACAGAAUAUAAAUAAGUGCACUGGUAAAAAUUUGACGAUGGAAGUGCCAACUGCCAUAUAAGUUAUAACAUCCCGCUAGUUCUUUAUCUUUACAUAGAAAGACUCCAGAAAACCCAGUUCAUGCUUUAUUUUAUCUCUAGUCACCAGUAAGUGAAAAGAAGACACCAUCAUCAACUGUUAUUACAGGAAGAGUGUUAGGUCACCCAAUCCUCUUUAUUCAACAACUCAAAAUUCAUUAUGCUAUACUAAUAAUGGAAAUAGUAACCCAAGACAGCAAGUACGGCGAACCAAAGACCCCACACAAAAGAUAUGUGAACUAACCUUCUGUAGGACAAGCUUAUACUCUAUAAGUUCAUUAUAAGCACGCUGCAACUUAUCGUCAUUUGCAUUCACUUCAACCAGCUCUGCCUCGAGUUCCCCAAGUUUGACCUAGAAUGCCAAACGGUGAAAUGACAACUAAGAGAGUAAGUUAUGUUGGAAACAGAGCAUUCUUGGAUAUGACAAUCAAAGAUACCUCCAAGUCAUCCAUGUUGAUAUCAGCUUGCUCCUCCAGUUUAGUUACGGGCAACACACCUGCCUUCUCCAUUUGCUCUUUGAAGAACCUUAACUUUCGGGCCAUCUCUCCAGUUUUUUUAAUCUUAAAAAUAAUGAGAAGCCCCGUUAGCCCAAAGAUAACUUAGAGGUUUAAACGCUAGUGAAUUGUUCCUGCGUCAUGAGGCAAUGAAUACGCUAUCUAUAUAAUACAGCAUAAGCUCCAAAGUCUAGACUAAUUUCAGCUUAUAUUUCCUUAGAUUGAAAGGAUGGUGUAUAAUAUUACAUUACCAGCCUCUCAAUCUUGAAGUAUAUAGCAAGAAACAACUUCGUGGGUACAGAAACUUAUUUACUUUGAUUCUACCACUUCCUUGAUUCGACAGGGUUUUGCAACAUACAGCAACAGCUCGAUUUUGUAGCGCCUUAAGGCUUCCCAAUCACACGAAGCAACACUUGAUUGAAAAUUGUUUCAAAUGUGUCUUACCGUAGUGCGUUACGUAGUUCUAGGGAAUCACAUAUAUAUAAUACUAUGAUUAACCAGCUUGUAAGCAACGCCAUUCAACUUUUUUGUAACGACCAAUGUUCCCAUUUUAAAAACGUAAACAUCAAAUUGAACAAAAACAUACAACAUCAAGAUAAUCAAUCGCCUUAGCUAACACAAUCCACAUUUCCAAAAAACAGGGAAAGAAAGAAAGAGAUUGCACCUGAGCUGCAUAAGCUCUCUGAAAUGGGCUCUUAUCAGAAUUGAGCUGCGGAAAACAAAAAGAAACGAAAAGAGUCAGCUUUUAAGAAGAAACAUUAUGAACAAUCACAAUCCAAGUAGCGCGCAAAGUCAGACACCAUCAACGAACCAAACAGCCAUUUCCUCGCUCUCGAGACAAUGGACAGUCAGAACGACGUUCGCAAAUUCAAUAAUACCCUAACUAGUAAUUCAGCAGCAGCUGAAAGAGAUAAGGAGAUGGAAGGGAGGAGUACUCACAUCUUUGAACUGAAUGAGGCCGAGGUCGCCGAGGUAAGAGACGGUGAGAUGAGAGGACUCGAUAGGGAUGAUGAGCUGGAUGAGGUGCAUCGGCUCGGAGCGGAAGAGAUCCAUGGGAGGGCAGCAUCCUCCUCCACCUGCGCCAGCCAUUGUUGUUGAGAUCUCGGGGAAUUUUUCCCGAUCGCAGAUCGGCCGAUGAGAUUGAGUGUUGGUCUGACAGAGAAGUGGGAAUAGUAGAAAUCUAAUUAUAAUUAUCACGAGCCGGUGUUUCUACUUCUCUCUGGUAUACAGACCAGACCAGACCAGAGCAGAGAGAUGGAGAGAGAUUGAUUGUUCUUCGUCGUCUCUGCUCUGCUUAGCUAGCUAGCCCACCACACGUCAAGCUUCCACGUAGUAGUAAUCUUCUCCCUCCUUCUGGUUCUAUCAUGGGCCCUUGAUGGGCCUAUUUUGUGAUUAUUCAACCACAACAAUGAUGGGCCUCACUAAUAUUGAAGUCAAUUUUGCAGGCUCGACGGACUGUGGAGCAAUAUAUUCAAUUCUUUGGGAUUAAUUUCACCUAAUUUUCACAACCAAAUCUUUUUAAAAGGGAAGAAUGUGGCUGUAAAUUUGAAUUUGAACUUGAAUUCCAACCGAUUUCAUAAUUCUAGCCGGAUAAACCCGUUUCAGUUAAUUAUAGUUCAAUCCAUUUUAAUUAAAUCAUCAAACUUAAAAAUUGACUAACCCACAAAAUAAUAAGAAGCUUACAAGAGUAUAUAUCCAGCAUACUGUACUUCAUUUCUAGACCAUUUCUUACAUGUCAUAAUGGGCUAUAAGGUCUUAAAAUAUCUAGCAAUCAUUGAUCAACUCUAGUCAAGUAAAACCACACCGUAGAAAGUGUACAGCUGCAACUAACUUUUCCUCCUUCCUUUUACGCUCUCUUUACACUGUCGCCAUGAACAACCACAAACCCUUCACUCGCCAUUGUUGCAACUGCGUUUCUCAGCUGAAAAUAAACGAUUGAAGAAGACAGCUUAUGCUUUCCAUCAAUGAUCUCAUAUUCAGUUAACAAGGAUAUGAAAAGGGCAUGAGAAAGCCAGCCUUACAUCAUGAAGGUGAACAUCAACCACAGAGCUCUGCUUCUUUAGCUCCUCCAAUAUCUGAGGUCAAACACAUAAAAAAAACAUUAUGGUUAUUUUAUAUAUCAGGAUAGGAUGUCCUAAGUAGAUGUGGUGCAGAGACUAGGAUGGUACCUCCAUUAACCGCAUCGAGGGUCCUCCGAUUUGUAACUUCUCCAUGAUUAUGUUGGUCGUUGCUGUUACGAGAUUUUCCCUUCUCAUCCUCUCGCUGGCUGAAACUCCGGUUGUUAUGAGAUCCAUGUCGAUUGUUCCUGCAUUACACAGUGCCAGAGAAGUUGUUUCAGCACCAGAUGAUGAUCAGAGAAAACCAUGUGGGAGGAGCAAUGAGAGUAUAUGGCUUAGCUACCUGUAGAGUGAUCUGUUGCAGACUGCUGCAUAGCAACUUCAAGAAGCCGGAAUGCCUCUGUUACAUCAUUCUUUUCAACCUGCAUAAUCCCAAAGGUAUGACAUCAUAACCCACCUACAGAAGAAAUGUUACAAUGCUGAAGCAGAAAAUAUGAACUAACCUGUUCGGAGAAACGAAUUCGAGCAAGUGCUUCACUGAUACGUAUCAAGCUCUCUAUUUGUCUAGGUGUUGCAGUUAUGACCUGAAGGAUAUUGCAUACAAAGGAUAUCAGAUCAAAUAAAAGCACCGUCGUUUGUCAAGGUUCAUGGAAAGUUCAUAAUUUUUUAUAUACUACUAGUUUCAGACACACAACAUGCCUUUUUGCUACUGCCGGGGAAGUUCCCUCUCCUUCUCAUUUCAACAUAGCCACGAGUUAGUUCCUCAGCAGCUUCGUCUGAUAGCUGAGGGUGAAUAUGGUUACGAGCAUAGGUUAUAUAUGUAGUUAAUGUACCAAUAUCUAAAACACCCUGCUGUGCGAUCUGCAAGGUAGAUGAAAAAGCUCCUUGAUUAAGAUCAAUCCAAAAUAAUGAAGGUGGGAUUAAGAUUAAUGUCCGUUACUCAGGCUUGUUGCAGUAAGUUAAAGACCUCGGGAUCUUCGAAGUGUAAAGCCACGAUGUGUCUUGCUAGGUGCCUGUCUGUUUGCUCAUCGGCUUUGUCAAGGAUCAAAUAUAUCAAAUCAAACCUGAGAAAGUUGUUGUCUCGAUAAGUUGUCGUAACUCAUAACAAUAUCAUUUCAAUUCAUAGCUAAAAUGGACAUGCAAUCAAGAACGAAUAUGACAAUAUCAGUACAAAAUAUGUUUCUUUACCUGGAUAACAAGGUAGGAGGCAAGUGUAUGUUGUCGAUGACGGAUAACCUGGGGUUAUAACGAGAACCGAUUGGAUUGGCACAAGCCAAAACUGAUGUUCUGGCAUUAAGAGUAGCAAUAAUCCCAGCCUUCGCAAUAGAAACAGUUUGCUGCUCCAUGACCUGCAAGAAGCAAAGCAAGGACUACAAUUUCAAGCAUUGUUCACCAACUAAGCCGCACAAAAGCAUAUAACAAACAGCACAAGCAGAUAACAACUGAUGUGUGACAGUGAUGUUUUUUCCUAUCUUGUUCUGCUACAAUUUCCGUAAUAGAAAACUGUUAUACUAUAAAGGAUGCAAAUCUUAGAAAAUUAUUCAAGUGUCAGAAAAUAUCAUAUUUAUCAAGGGUCCUUAUACAGAGAAUAUAAUCAUACCUCAUGUAACAUGCUUCUGGCAUUUUCAGACAUUUUGUCAAAUUCAUCAAUGCAACAUAUGCCUCUGUCACUCAAGACAAGUGCUCCACUCUCCAGUACCUGCAAAGAUCUAACUUGGCUAUAAUUGACUUAUAUGCUUUAGAAACUGGUUGUAUAAAUAAGUACACAGAUCAUAUGAAAAAUGAGUAGCUAUGUAAGACAAAUCAUUCAUAUUACCGUUUCCUUUGUUUCAGGAUCUUUGCUGACAUAAGCAGUCAAGCCAACAGCAGAGCUUCCCCUUCCACUGGUAUAAAUACCACGAGGUGAUAGCUUGUGUAUGUACUGGAGCAGCUGAGACUUGCUUGUACCAGGAUCACCAACCAGUAGGAUGUUUAUAUCACCACGGAAGCUCGCACCAGAUGGUAAUUGCAAGGCAUUCCCACCAAAGAGCUAAACAAUGAGUCAUAAAUUAACCAUGGAUAGGUGCAACAAGGUCGACAGUUGUUCACAGUGAAGAAAAGCAACAGCAACCCAAACACGAAAGGUACCUGACAAAGAAGGCCCCUUUUCACAUCAUCUAGCUCCCAAAUGUUUGGUGCCAAAGACCUGGUUAAUCUGUCGUAUAUAUCAGGCAGCUUUGAAAGCUCUCUCAACUGCUUUAUCUACAAUUUCAAACAAGAAUGAAUCCGAGAUCAAAUAAAUGAAGUAUGAGUCUCGCUAUGCCUAACUGAAAAGAAAGUCUUAACCAAUACCUUCUCUUCAUCAAAUUCAACAUCUUCAUCACAUUUUUCAGGGCCUUUAUCAGUUUCCAUGGCAUCCAUUCUUGACUUGUCAGUUUUCUUGAUAUGAAGGCAGUCAAUGUAAGUCUGCAACCACAGCAAAAAUAUGGUACACCACUUAGACAGAAUUAUAUCCCAAUAAAAGCUCCAUUGCUCAAGUGCCACAGAAAGAUUAAACCAUGCCUUGAAUAGUGACUUCACAGUUCUUUGAGUGGGUCCAACCCUGACGCUCAUAGCCCUAUAAAUUCCAGUCACCUGCCGAAGAAAGGUUACUUCAUCAGUCAAAGUAAUGAUAGCAAGUAAGUUCAGGCAUGUCAUGAUGAUAAACGGAAGUGAACUACUGAUUGCCUUACCUCAACUCUGUCACCUGGCUUUCCAGCAUCGACCAGCUUGUCGUGCAUCAAAAGACUGACCGUAUGUGGUGUUCCACCAUCAGGGAUCUCAUCUGGUGUCUCCUGAAGUCUCACAAUCUGCUUAUCAGCAAACCUGAAGCCAAGAAAUAGGAGCGUCAGUUUCAGAAAUUCUUACGUGAACAAAGAAUUCCGACCAGUUGGAUACUAUACUAUUGCCCUAAUAAUAUUUAUACACAAUCAAACCAAAUGCAAAAGUUACCUGCAGCGGUUGUGAACUAAUGUCAUAGCAUUCUUUGCCUGACAUUCUUGCUUCAGGCACGAGGUAGGUUCACUGAUCCGACCUGCCACCCAAUUUCACACAUUUAAUUUGCAUCUCAAACAACAUUAUACACAAAAGGCAUCCAGCUAACAGCUGAAGCACUCUUACCUCUGUCUACAACAAUAGGAUCAGAGAAGUAUCCGCACACAAGGCAUCUAAAUAUUGCCUCUCUGAUCUCCGGUAUGAUAGAACUAGCCCGAAUUAUCAUCCCCUUCAGUGACACCAUCUUCUCAAUGUCUACAAAUAUUGCACCAAAUACAAUCAACAUUUUCUACUAACCGCAAACCGUAUACAAAUGAUCACCAAUUAGUCACGAAAAUUGGAACUACAACCUUCACGGAAACAACUAAAACAAACAAAAAUGCUAAAGAAUCACAAACAAAUGUACUGGAAUAUCAUAUUCACAAAGGUGCAUAGGGUGGAAGCUCACCUGAAGGGUUGAGAUUUCUCAUGCUAGUCGAGCUCUUCAGAUUGAAUAUCCGAACUUGGACAUGCUUUUCAAAUAGCGGGUUGGUCAGACUCACCAUAUCCAUCAGUACAAUAUCGAAAAUCGCCAGAACCUCAAGCGGAUACCUAACCAUCUUCCCAUACAGUUCAGUAUUAUAAUUAAACACAUCGUGUGCAUCAACAUCCAACCAUUCCCCUUCAAUCUCCAACACCCUGUGGAUCGCCUUCAUGUAUUUCCCUUCUUCGUAAAUCUCAGUCCCUUGACUACUCCUUUCAUCCCUAAAGUUCUUCAGAAACAUCUGAAUCGCGCUCUUCACAUCCUGCACGCUGAUAUUCGUUCCCCAAACAAAAGUCGGAGCUGCCGCCUCGUCCAUGUCCUCCCCAGCCUCGGACGAAGGGGCGCCCUCCGAAGUGGAGGAAGGCGUCGUUGGACGUCCCCGGCGGAAGGUCGAACCGCUAUGGUGCGGAGUUGGAGUUGACUCUGAAUUGGCGAAACGCGAGUUGUUAGGGUUAGGAGGAGUGUCGUAUCCGGCGGAUCUGCCUCCUCUCCCUCGUUUUCUCCGGCGAGAUCCUCCAGCUGCCGGAGAAGAAACUGCGUCUCCGAUUGGACUUGAGAAUGAGUCAUCCGGCGACGAAGGUGCUGUUAACAAGAUUUGUUAACUAGGUUAAAAAUGCAAUUGCUUCGAGUAAACGAGAGUAAAUGCAUAUACUGGUGCAAGUAGAUGAAGAAAGGGAGCUUACUAUUGUUGAAGCGAGUCGGAGUUGUGUCGGAAGCCAUGGCUGCAGAGAGACGUCGGACGGUCGGAGACGGAGAAAUGAAUGCUCGGAGUUUAAUGGAGGGAAAAAGCUUCAAGGGUAGUGUAUUUUGGCGCUGUAUAUCGGGAGCAAUUUAAGCGGGAAACGGAUGAUCUUCGCGCCAGAUUUAGUGGGCUUAAUAAGCUAGUGCCGUGGCUUUUGGGCCGGAUACCUUGUGGACCGAGACGUGGGCCGGUUGAGUUGUUAUAUGGAGUUAUUUGCACGCCCCAUUCUAUGUUGGGCAUGUAGCCUGCUAGCCCCAUAAAACAAUAAUGUAGGAUCGACGGUCAUCGAUAAAUUGAUUAAUCAUUAUUUUUCGUUGAACAAUAAUUCAAUCAAAAAUAUCAUAAAAACACACCCAAUAAAUUCGUGUUACAAUUAAGAAAUUGUACGCAAUUAGGGCUUUUCUACAACCCAAAAACCACCCACCAUCGAAUGUGUAUAGCAAUUACAAAGUUGUAAAUUCGGUUUGGUUUAGGAAUAUCCUUGAUCCAUUGAUCGUUAUCUUGAAUAUACAUAUGAAAUCAACUAGUAUGCUUUCCACGUAAUUAGUGAAAACUUAUUAAAGAAGUGGAUUCAUGCCCAUAGUUACCAUCUAAUUAGUGAAAACUUAUUAAGGAUGAUUGCCUUGCCCUUUCAGAAAAAAAUAAUGGUCAGUAGCUAUCUCCAAGAGUCGAGCAUAAUUAGAUUCACAACAUCAAUGAUUAAACAAAACAAUGAGACAUCGAAGGGUGCCCAUGCGUGUGUUCUUAAUUUGUAGCAAUCCUUAAACUAUACGGAUUGUUUAGUUUCUAUAUAUUCAACUAGUUGAAAUUAAGGUGGCUUCUAGUUGUUUGGGUAUGUGGAAUCUGUGUCUACUUUGUACACAUGCCCCCAACCAUUUAUAUAACGCCAUCGAAAAAAGCAAGAGGCUUUUUUUUAUAAGUAUAUAUGGGAUUGGUGAUUUCUGUUAGGUUAUAGAGUCGGAUACGUCGAACAUUUAUAAGUAAUUGAAUUAAAUUUUGAUGUUAUGAUAAUUUUGGAUUGUUUUGUGAUUUUGGCCGAUGGGUUGUGCCUUAUCCUUUUUUCAUGUAGUUGGUAUAUAAUGUAUUUCUCAUCAUUACAAUCGGUAUCAUCAAAACAAAUUGAGUAGAUGUGGGGCUACUCAGGUCGGUGCCCCGUUCAUUUGUGAUUAUAUUUUUUUAAUAAUUUGGCGUAUUUUCCAAAUUUUUCUCAGUAAUAUUUUUGAAAAUAUUUAAAUAUUAAAUAUGCCUCAUUAGUAGUCGCUAUCCCUAACUUAUUAGCGUCUCAAAAUAUACUCUUUUCACGGAAGGAGAACUAGGUUAACAAAUUAUUCCAUUCCAUAUUAUAAUUUUUCGUUAGUGAACCAUCUAGAAGCUUUUACAACAUGAAUUAUCAUUAAAAAUAAAACCCUUACUAUAGUCUAAACAAUUUAAUGAUCUAAAUCACAAUAGUAAUUCUUUGGAAUCCUUGUUGUCACUUUGUUUUCGUAGUACAACGGCAUAUAUUCCCAUUUCCAAUUAUAACAAUAUAUUUUGAAGUGUGAUUAUAUAACAAUUAUAGAUAAUUUACCAAUUAAAUCCUUUUCGUCAAAUUCUUUCAAUAAUAACAAAAUAAAAGAUAAUUUAAUACAAUGUUGGUGGCAGAACACAACUAGUAAUUUUAUUCCGUAUGGAGAGUGGGAAGAGGGAAAGUGCAUGAAAAGGGAGGAGGUGGAGCUACAACAACUCCAGCCACGGCGGAGCUUUGUCGUCGUUCGUUUUGGGGACCUUGGUCGUACAGGAUUCCCUUGAAGAGAUGGCCUCCGAUGCUCACACUCGUUCGAUAUGCGUACUCGUCGUAAAGUCUAUCAUCAUCUCCAUGGUUUCUUCCACUAUCCAACCUCAUCGAGCUCGCUACUUUGCAGCAAUGGAACGUAGCCAUCGAAGUCACUUCCCGAGGGAAAUCAUCGCUUUCCAUGUCUACAAAAUGUACUCGUCAAACUACUGUUAUAAAACCAAUUCAAAAUAUCUUCCAUUAAUAUUAUCGAGCAAUGUUAGAGACUGUAAAUAGUUUGUAACAGUUUAAAAAGCCUCAAAAUACAACAUGAGAAAAAGGAUUCUUGCAAAUUGCUAGUCUUUAUACAACAACAAACUGGUAGCACAUAACUCUACCAACCGAGAUACCUCCAGUUCUACGGUUACACGACUAUUAGACUACAAUUUCUUUUCGCAUUUGAUGUACUAUAUGAUCAAUUAAUUAGUUGGAUAUAUACCUGAGGGAUUAUGGUGAUGGUGUAGUUGUUGGGAGGUGGGAAGAUGAGUAGCUGAACUUCCCCUAGCAGUUGCUUGCUGUAGGCGCCUCAAGGAAGUGGGAACCCAAGUGCUGGAAACGUGGGUUUGGCACUCCAACUUUCUCCUGUUGCAGCAUCUCCUGCAUCUCCAAUAUCUACACUCCCUCUUUGCCUGAUUCCCACAGUCUUCACACCUCCUCCCCGCCGCCCCGCCACCACCUCCUCCUCUCAUACUCCCCACCGACGUCUCUCCUCCGCCGUUCAUCAUGGCUAUAUAGCUGGUGGUUCACUACUGUAGUGAGGCAAUUAUAUAUAGCUACUUCACUGUGUAGUACGUGCUUAUUUUCUUUAAUUAAUAGUUGGCGGUGGUUCCACUGCUUUAUUAACUUUCUAUACAAAUAUUUACUACUUAUUAUUUAGUAUUCUUUUUUUUAUACAAAUAUUAUUUAGUAUUCGUUAAUUAAAUACAUGUACUUAUUAUUUAUUAAUUAGUCCUACCAAAAAGAAUUAUUUAUUAAUUAGUAUCAUUUCUCCUAAUUUUUUCUGCUUUCCUAGGGGGCAGGAAGGGUCCUUCCACUUUACAUGUAUGGAAAAAAGUAUGUUUAUAUUUUAUUUGUUAUAUGCUCGAUUUAUACUCCUUUAUUGUUUUGUUUGAUAAAGAAAUUGGAAAGAUUUCAAUUUAAACUAAUACCUUCACCCUAUACUUCAGCUUGAAGCAAUGGUCCGUUUAAGAAGCUAAAUUUACUGCAAAUUUUAUCCAAGUUUUCGAGUAACCGGUUAAAUUUCGGUUACUCAAUUUGAAUUGUUUUCUUAUCUCAUAAUGAGACAAAAUUACUAGUUUGUUAUAAUUUAUUAUAGUAGGAGAAACUUUCUAAAUUAACCUAAAUUAUUUUAAUGAAUAUCAAUAUAAUAUUUAUUUUUAUUAUUUAUUUAUAAAAAAUUUCGGUCUAUUUCAAAAGAAAAUAUUUUCUCCAUAAGGGUAUCCUUUACUGUUUUUUUGGGUUAGGGUAUCAUUUAUGAUAAUUGUCUGCUGAAAAUUAUUUUAAAAUCGUGAUCGAAUCAUAGAAAAUUUACCAGACUAUUCGGACCUGGCCCAAUACUCAUUGGACUAUACGAUAAUAGCCCAGACCUAAUUGUAGCCCACCAAACUUCAAAUUACAACCUGAUAAAAA